This 253-nucleotide ribosomal RNA is filed under the name uncultured bacterium. RNAcentral's name for it is "partial 16S ribosomal RNA". It matches the Rfam family "Bacterial small subunit ribosomal RNA", at positions 524 to 776 of the family's 1533-position model. The record is from RNAcentral.
UACAGAGGGGGCAAGCGUUGUUCGGAAUUACUGGGCGUAAAGGGCGCGUAGGCGGCCCGCUAAGUCGAACGUGAAAUCCCUGGGCUCAACCCGGGAACUGCGUCCGAUACUGGCAGGCUUGAAUCCGGGAGAGGGAUGCGGAAUUCCAGGUGUAGCGGUGAAAUGCGUAGAUAUCUGGAGGAACACCGGUGGCGAAGGCGGCAUCCUGGACCGGCAUUGACGCUGAGGCGCGAAAGCCAGGGGAGCAAACGGG